UGGCUUGGUGUCUCGUACAGUCAUGC
Molecule: non-coding RNA, 26 nt
Filed under: Homo sapiens (human)
Lineage: Eukaryota; Metazoa; Chordata; Mammalia; Primates; Hominidae
Source: RNAcentral